Brachypodium distachyon (stiff brome) is the source of this 131-nucleotide non-coding RNA. Lineage: Eukaryota; Viridiplantae; Streptophyta; Magnoliopsida; Poales; Poaceae. The record is from Rfam.
UUUGUACUUUCUUCGUCCAACAAAAGAUGUCUCAACUUUGACUUAAAUGUCAAUGCAUCUAUACACUAAGUAAUGUCUAGAUACAUUUUGACAAAUUUGAGACAUCUUUUGUUAGACGGAGAGAGUAUGAA